AACGAACGCUGGCGGCAUGCCUAACACAUGCAAGUCGAACGAGACCUUCGGGUCUAGUGGCGCACGGGUGCGUAACGCGUGGGAAUCUGCCCUUCGGUUGGGAAUAACUGAGAGAAAUUUCAGCUAAUACCUUAUAAUGUCUUCGGACCAAAGAUUUAUCGCCGAGGGAUGAGCCCGCGUAGGAUUAGGUAGUUGGUGGGGAAUGGCCUACCAAGCCGACGAUCCUUAGCUGGUCUGAGAGGAUGAUCAGCCACACUGGGACUGAGACACGGCCCAGACUCCUACGGGAGGCAGCAGUGGGGAAUAUUGGACAAUGGGCGAAAGCCUGAUCCAGCAAUGCCGCGUGAGUGAUGAAGGCCUUAGGGUUGUAAAGCUCUUUUACCCGGGAUGAUAAUGACAGUACCGGGAGAAUAAGCUCCGGCUAACUCCGUG
Molecule: ribosomal RNA, 432 nt
Filed under: uncultured bacterium
Lineage: Bacteria
Description: partial 16S ribosomal RNA
Rfam family: Bacterial small subunit ribosomal RNA
Source: RNAcentral